UACGUAGGGUGCGAGCGUUGUCCGGAAUUAUUGGGCGUAAAGAGCUCGUAGGCGGUUUGUCGCGUCUGCUGUGAAAAUCCAGGGCUUAACCCUGGACCUGCAGUGGGUACGGGCAGACUAGAGUGCGGUAGGGGGGAUCGGAAUUCCUGGUGUAGCGGUGAAAUGCGCAGAUAUCAGGAGGAACACCGGUGGCGAAGGCGGGUCUCUGGGCAACAACUGACGCUGAGGAGCGAAAGCGUGGGGAGCGAACAGG
This 253-nucleotide ribosomal RNA is filed under the name uncultured bacterium. Its description in RNAcentral is "partial 16S ribosomal RNA". It matches the Rfam family "Bacterial small subunit ribosomal RNA", at positions 524 to 776 of the family's 1533-position model. The record is from RNAcentral.